CCGAGAGCGGCCGGGUCGGCAGCGGGGCCCGGGGCUCCUCUUGGCCGGGCGGCUCCUGUCCCGCCGGCCCGUGUGGCAAAGACCACCAAACUGAUGUGGAGAGAUCUGUGACUAUGAGAGUAGCAGCCUCACGCAGAUACCUACAAGAGGGGACAUAUUUUGCAUCUUUUUACUCUACUGGCCUUACUGAGCCCAAAGCAGCUGAGCUGACUAAAGCAGUUUAAAAGUCAACCUACCUCAAGUGCUUCUUCAGCCUUUCAUAUAGAAAGUUACAUUGCUUCCAAUUUCUACAAUCAAGUCAAAAUAAACCAGAAAUGUCCCUGAAAUUUACUCACCCUGAAACCCAUGUCCAAAGGGCAAUUGGAUAUGGAGAGUUUAAGUCACACUUCACAGGAUUCUCAUGGAGCAUCUAUUUUUUGUCAUUGACUUGUCUCCAAGAGGUCACUGCUGCAAUACAGCCAAACCAGUCAUGAAAGUAAAAGGCUGAUUAU
Long non-coding RNA from Corapipo altera (White-ruffed manakin), 491 nucleotides. RefSeq lists it as uncharacterized. NCBI's taxonomy places the organism in Eukaryota, Metazoa, Chordata, Aves, Passeriformes, Pipridae. The transcript is spliced from 2 exons. The record is from RefSeq and is a predicted model, not a curated record.